UUAGCAGCUACACUGGGAACGGUCG
Molecule: transfer RNA, 25 nt
Filed under: Melampyrum carstiense
Lineage: Eukaryota; Viridiplantae; Streptophyta; Magnoliopsida; Lamiales; Orobanchaceae
Also listed under: 1 other name
Description: partial tRNA-Phe
Source: RNAcentral